This is a non-coding RNA of Chelonoidis abingdonii (Abingdon island giant tortoise), 271 nucleotides long. NCBI's taxonomy places the organism in Eukaryota, Metazoa, Chordata, Testudines, Testudinidae. The record is from RefSeq and is a predicted model, not a curated record.
UUACAUGAGUUAAAGACCAAUUUACUUCCAUCUUAGUUUAACACAGCUGGAAAUUAGCCUGUGGCUGUCUUGUAAUCUUCCACGGUUCGCUUGUUGCUUCCAACUGAAUUGGCUGUUCCCUGUCAGAGGCUCUGGAACAGCCAACAGACCAUGGGAAGGCAUUCCUCUGGGCUCCUGCUUGAAACCAACGGCUACAGCAAACCGAUGGCCUUGAUUCAGGGCCCAUAGAAAUGAGGAUCAAAACACCCCAGUACACAGCAUGCUAUCAGGG